Molecule: ribosomal RNA, 331 nt
Filed under: uncultured eukaryote
Lineage: Eukaryota
Description: partial 18S ribosomal RNA
Rfam family: Eukaryotic small subunit ribosomal RNA
Source: RNAcentral
CCCUUAGAUGUCCUGGGACGCACGCGUGCUACACUGAUGAAUUCAACGAGUUUCUCACCUUGGCCGAAAGGUCUGGGUAAUCUUUUGAAAUUUCAUCGUGAUGGGGAUAGAUCCUUGCAAUUUUUGAUCUUCAACGAGGAAUUCCUAGUAAGCGCAGGUCAUCGUCCUGCGUUGAUUACGUCCCUGCCCUUUGUACACACCGCCCGUCGCUCCUACCGACUGAAUGGUCCGGUGAGUUGUUGGGAUGGCUGCGCGGCCGACGGGGCAACCUGUCUAGUGCGGCCAGAACUUCUGCAAACCUUAUCAUUUGGAGGAAGGAGAAGUCGUAACA